UACGUAGGUCCCGAGCGUUGUCCGGAUUUAUUAGGCGUAAAGCGAGCGCAGGUGGUUUAUUAAGUCUGGUGUAAAAGGCAGUGGCUCAACCAUUGUAUGCAUUGGAAACUGGUAGACUUGAGUGCAGGAGAGGAAAGUGGAAUUCCAUGUGUAGCGGUGAAAUGCGUAGAUAUAUGGAGGAACACCGGUGGCGAAAGCGGCUCUCUGGCCUGUAACUGACACUGAGGCUCGAAAGCGUGGGGAGCAAACAGG
RNAcentral lists this ribosomal RNA (252 nucleotides) under uncultured bacterium. Its description in RNAcentral is "partial 16S ribosomal RNA". It matches the Rfam family "Bacterial small subunit ribosomal RNA", at positions 524 to 776 of the family's 1533-position model. The record is from RNAcentral.